This 429-nucleotide ribosomal RNA is filed under the name Chloroflexota bacterium. RNAcentral describes it as "Chloroflexi bacterium partial 16S ribosomal RNA". It matches the Rfam family "Bacterial small subunit ribosomal RNA", at positions 355 to 776 of the family's 1533-position model. Lineage: Bacteria; Bacillati; Chloroflexota. The record is from RNAcentral.
UGGGGAAUAUUGCACAAUGGGCGCAAGCCUGAUGCAGCCAUGCCGCGUGUGUGAAGAAGGCCUUCGGGUUGUAAAGCACUUUCAGCGGGGAGGAAGGCGUUAAGGUUAAUAACCUUGGCGAUUGACGUUACCCGCAGAAGAAGCACCGGCUAACUCCGUGCCAGCAGCCGCGGUAAUACGGAGGGUGCAAGCGUUAAUCGGAAUUACUGGGCGUAAAGCGCACGCAGGCGGUCUGUCAAGUCGGAUGUGAAAUCCCCGGGCUCAACCUGGGAACUGCAUUCGAAACUGGCAGGCUAGAGUCUUGUAGAGGGGGGUAGAAUUCCAGGUGUAGCGGUGAAAUGCGUAGAGAUCUGGAGGAAUACCGGUGGCGAAGGCGGCCCCCUGGACGAAGACUGACGCUCAGGUGCGAAAGCGUGGGGAGCAAACAGG